CGGUUGAUCCUGCCGGAGGACAUUGCUAUUGGGAUUCGAUUUAGCCAUGCUAGUCGAACGAGUUCACACUCGUGGCACAUAGCUCAGUAACACGUGGCCAAGCUACCCUUCAGUCGGCAAUACCCUCGGGAAACUGAGGCUAAUAGCCGAUACGAAACAGACGCUGGAAUGCACUGUAUUCCAAAGACACCGCUGAAGGAUGCGGCUGCGGCCGAUUAGGUAGACGGUGGGGUAACGGCCCACCGUGCCAGUAAUCGGUACGGGUGAUGAGAGUCAGAGCCCGGAGACGGAAUCUGAGACAAGAUUCCGGGCCCUACGGGGCGCAGCAGGCGCGAAACCUUUACACUGCACGAAAGUGCGAUAGGGGAAUCCCAAGUGCGAGGGCAUAUUAGCCCUCGCUUUUGUUGACUCUAAGGUGGUCAACGAAUAAGAGCUGGGCAAGACCGGUGCCAGCCGCCGCGGUAAUACCGGCAGCUCGAGUGAUGUCCCAUAUUAUUGGGCCUAAAGCGUCCGUAGCUGGCCAACCAAGUCCAUCGGGAAAUCCACCCGCCCAACGGGUGGGCGUCCGGUGGAAACUGGCUGGCUUGGAACCGGAAGGCUCAGAGAGUACGUCCGGGGUAGGAGUGAAAUCCCGUAAUCCCGGACGGACUACCGAUGGCGAAAGCACUCUGAGAAGACGGCUUCGACAGUGAGGGACGAAAGCUAGGGUCUCAAACCGGAUUAGAUACCCCGGUAGUC
Molecule: ribosomal RNA, 738 nt
Filed under: uncultured haloarchaeon
Lineage: Archaea; Methanobacteriati; Methanobacteriota; Halobacteria; Halobacteriales; Halobacteriaceae
Description: bacterial SSU rRNA
Rfam family: Archaeal small subunit ribosomal RNA
Source: RNAcentral